This 268-nucleotide ribosomal RNA is filed under the name uncultured Pelotomaculum sp. RNAcentral's name for it is "partial 16S ribosomal RNA". It matches the Rfam family "Bacterial small subunit ribosomal RNA", at positions 1113 to 1382 of the family's 1533-position model. Lineage: Bacteria; Bacillati; Bacillota; Clostridia; Eubacteriales; Desulfotomaculaceae. The record is from RNAcentral.
AGUUGCUAACGCGUGAAGGCGAGCACGUCUAGCGAACUGCCGUUGACAAACGGAGGAAGGUGGGAUGACGUCAAAUCAUCAUGCCCCUUAUGUUCUGGGCUACACACGUGCUACAAUGGCCGGUACAGACGGACGCAAAGCCGCGAGGCGGAGCAAAUCCGAAAAAGCCGGUCUCAGUUCGGAUUGCAGGCUGCAAUUCGCCUGCAUGAAGUCGGAAUCGCUAGUAAUCGCAGGUCAGCAUACUGCGGUGAAUACGUUCCCGGGCCUU